UAACUGUCAGUCAGGAGGUGCCUCCAGGACUAUGUGUGAGGUGAAGUGCACCGUUGACAUUAGCGCUGAGAAAGACGGGUUUAGUGGUUUGGGUUUUUUGCUACCAUGUCGCCUCCUGCUCCCAUUGCUGUCAUUGCAACACAUUCUGUUAGAAUAGCUACCUUCAGCCAUCACGACACUUCAGAAGUUAUUGGCAUGUCCAACUAAAGUUCAAAAUGCCCCCAGACAAAAAACGUUAUUAAGCUGGAAUUAAGACUGAAAGCAAACCUUCACAUUCAUUAAGAUUUUUUGUGUCUUGAAAUCUACUUCAACUAUAUCAUUGGCAUCAAGUAUUGCAACUCCAAUACCAGCCCUGCUUCCUAACCAGAGAUUGGCAGGGAAUGAGGCUCAGACCGUUCAAUACACAACACUUUCCAGAAGGAAUCGCAGCUGCUUCCAACUUGCGAUAGCAGGAUGGCCUCUGGGUGACCCCGGAUUAGUGUAAAUAUUUUGCUUUUAUUGGAAGGAAAUGUGACAUACAUUUGGGAUGGAAGUUAUCCAGAGACUGCAGACUUGGGAGCCAAGCCUCUGGGAAGCACACGCAGCGGUGGUCUCAAGGGUAUUUCAGCACUUCCCAGACAACAAGACUGUUCAUAAAGUUCGUGUGUAUCUAAUUUCAAAUUGAAUGUCAGUGGUUCAGCCCCCUGUCAAGGCCUAAAAAGAAACAGACCUGUUUACAGGACAACAGUCUUCAUGCACUAAAGCCAGGGCUUAACAAAAUGUGCAGUGAUGCACGGUCAAGCUGUGAAACCGUGGAGACGUGCAUUGACUUUUUAGGAGUAUAUGCAAUGAAAGUUAAACAACCCCUGACGUUCUUGGUCUUGCUGCCUAGAAUCAGCACUUCAUUUUCUAUUACGUGCAGCGACAGUCUAAACAGUUUUGUAGGCAGCCACUGACUGCAUCAUACUGAAUCCUUAUGGCAGCCCUUAGAAAUGAAUUUCUGUCAAAGGAAUUAACCCAUUCUCAACCUCCAGAGCACUGCCAGGUGAAAUGCAACAGGAAAGUGAGGCAAUAAAACAACUGCUCUGAGAAAUGGACAUUUUCAUCAGUGAAGACAUGUUAAAAAAGUAAAUGCCCUGUGUGGGGAGGAUUUGGUCUGUCAUCCACAACCCAGGUCUCACAGAACUCUCCUACAUAGGUGGUUUACUUGGGCUGUUUUAUGGGGCCAGGAUUUGGCCAAUGGAAUAUAUAGAGAUGGGCAUGCACUGAGCAAUACUUAAUACACAUUUAAUACAAAUUUGCAUCUUGACAGGGGGUUAGACUAGACUCUUGUGGUCCCUUCUAACCCUGUGAGUCUAUGAUUCUACCUGAUAAGGUAAGAACUAGUAAGCUGUUAGGAUCAACCCACAUGUCUACCAAACCGAACCAAGAAAUUGUGGCCAUGCUAUUUUGGGCUGUGCUCUCGUCUUAGCUCUUAUAAAUUAAACCAAGUUAGGCCUAGGCAACACUCAGGUGGGAAACUACAAAAGAAAAUCCAGCUUGUUGUCAUGGCGGUAAGUGAUUCAGCUGUUGCCAUUCUUCCCUCUGGGUUAGUACUAAACCAGUAGCCCAGCAUGGUUCUAGGGGCUGCUGUGCUAAUGCAGGUGCCAUGUUCUGUGCAUCUCAGGUCCUGAACACUAAUGAUCUUUAAAGAUCACUUGGCACUUUUUACAAGACUAGGUGCAUUAGUCCCAUUAUCACAAAUGUCUUGGUCAAAUUCAAACUUGUUUAAUUACAGUUUGACAACUUAAAUUUUCCUUGAAAUGUCAAUUGUAUGUAACAGUCUUCUUCUCUUUUAUCUUCUCUCUCUACAUCAGGUAUUUCUGAGGUGUCUAUAGUUGUAGUAGCUAAGCACCUCUCCUAAACUGUUACAUAGCAUUGAUUUCAAUUGUUAGCUUUAAAAUAUAUAUUCACAUUCAAAAUGGAUAAAAGGAAAUACUUUUUCACAUGAUGAAUAUUUAGACUGCAGAACUCAUUGCCACAUGAAAUUGUUGAAGCCAAAAAUUUAGUAGGAUUCAGAAAAGGGCUGGACAUAUAUUGGAUAUUAAGAAUAUCCAGAUUUAUCAUAAGUACUGAUAGAACUUUGGAAAGGAUAUUAAACCUCAUUCUUCAGGGAUUAAGCCAGUCUCUAAGUACUAGAGACCAGGAUGAGAUCUAAUAUGUAGGGCAGAUUAUCCCACAUCUGUCUACUGCAGAGUUCUUACACCUUCCUCUGAAGCACCUAGUGCUGACCACUGUCAGAGACAGGAUACUGAACUAGACAGACCUGGUAAGGCAAUUCCUGUGUUCCUGUGCCACAUUCCAUCCCAGAGGUGGCUGCACUUCAGUGGUCAGUGAACUGAUUCUUAUAUGCAAACAACUCAGUGAGAAAAGCGCUAAGUUAAUUAUCUCAUGGACUGUAACAAAAUUAUAAAGCCAUGAAGGCAUUAUAGCUACUGAAAUCAACUUCUGAUGUUGGACCCUGUGGAAAGGACUUACAGCCACCACAGAUACAAUUAGUUAGUUCAUUACCUCAGUGAGAAAAACAGCUGAUGGGAAGUUAGUAGCCCACUCCAACCCUGUGUUUAAGGAGGUUAAUUUAAUUCUGUUGGGCUUCUUUUGUGUUGCAGAGCAGUUGGACAAUAACCCACUUUCUCAACAGCCACAGGUUUAUGGGGCCUUAUUUUACAUACGCUGGUUUUACUCUGAUGUAACUCCAUUGACUUUAAUGCAGUUACUCCUGGUUUACAUUACUGUGAGAGGAGAAUAAGGCCCAGGAUACCUAAGGGACACAUCCUACUAGCCAAAGGAGUUGUGAUUUUGUCAGACAAUGAAAGAACAAAAGGAUUUUAAUUAUUUGGGGAGGAAUUAUAACACAAACAGUGUAGUUGCUGUGUCCAUCUCAGGAUCUUAGAGAGACAAGAUGGGUGAGGUAAUAUCUUUUAUUGGACCGACUUCUGUUGGUGAGAGAGACAAACUUUUGAGCUCUGUGUGGCUCAAAAGCGUGGCUCUCUUACCAACAGAAGUUGUUCCACUAAAAGAUAAGACCUCACCCACCUUGUCUCACAAAGAGAAACUGCAGUCUGCUGGGGGAUGCAACGACAGACAGAGCUAUUUCCCUGCAGUACUGAAAAAGUAGUGCUACUUCUGAGUAAACUUUGCUGCUGUUCUUACUAUUUUUAUCCAACCUUGAUCAAAUCAAUGACAGCAACGAUUGGCAUGUGCAUUUUGUACAUUAAAAAUAGACUAGCAAAGAUUGUCCUGAGUCUGUGUCCAUUUGGUUCUCUUGCAACAAGGCAAUACCUCACUCCUGGGGUCCAAAUAUGCCCUGACCACUUAAAAGCUAGGAGGAUGUUUAUAUUAUUGCAAAUUAGUGAUGAGAUUGAGCCACCAAACUGAGAUCCAGAACUAAACUUCCCCAACAUUCAAGGGUGUCUGGAUUGGGGUGGGGGGAGGCAGGGGUCAGCUGUGAAAUGCAGAUCUGGACCUCACAUUCCCAAGUUCACAUCCGUCUCUGUUAUAAAUGUCUCUGGUACAGUGGAGGAUUAACUUUCUUUGCACCAAGGUUUUCCCUUUCCAGGUUCACGUCUGAUGCAGGAGACAAGGGGAAAUGAUCACACACCGAAUGGGCCUUGCCUGUGAGAUAGAACACAUGAAAUAAUGAAUGAGGAGGAAACAUACCACAGACUCAGAAGGAUAUUUGCAGGAGGGCAGCUGGAAGGGCUCCCUCCUUCCAUUCUAUCUGUUUAUCAACAGGAUAUAGAUACUUGAAGACUGUGCCCCUCCCAAAGCCCUCAUUUUCCUUUGCAGAAUAAUAAGCAAACAGGUCUUAGCCUGCUGCCUGCAGGGAAAUGGUUUUGUUAUGGAAGGAGCGCCCUGCACUAAAACAACAAACAGAAGAAUGGCUGUGUUUGUUUUUCUGUGUGCUGGAGGUGAAGGUGCAGCCAGAGUGGGGCUACUUUCACAUCCUCUCCAAUUGAUAGAGGGCAGGGGACAGGCUCAGAAACACACACACACACAACAAUGCGUGCGGUCAGAUUAUAAUUGGCUUGGAAAUAUAAAACUUUGGUCCCUGGUCCAUAUCAACAUGCACCCCCAAUGUGUGCUGCAUGCUGGCCAAAUGGGAGUUAUAGAACUCCCAGAUGUGCAGGCCCCUCUCUCCUGAGGUAACCUCAUAGCAUGACUUGAAGGACUGAGGGGAGGAUUAUGGACUAGAGUGCUUCUCCUCCUCCCUUCAGCCUAUCUAUACCCACAGCAGGUGACAAGCCAACAACACUGAAAUUGUACUGUCUGUUUCUCACUAAUUCAGGGUAUAUGUGGGAAAGGAGGAUGACUUAUCCAGAGAGGUCCCCCCAUUGCUACAUCCCAAAGACAGGAGGUUAGGUAAAAGUAACUACAAUUCUGAGCCAAUGCAACAUUCUACAGAAUGGCUCUGCAGAGGUAAUCUCAUGGAGGAGGAUGUAUCUUUAUC
This is a long non-coding RNA of Mauremys mutica (yellowpond turtle), 4468 nucleotides long. RefSeq lists it as uncharacterized. The record is from RefSeq and is a predicted model, not a curated record. The transcript has 4 exons. NCBI's taxonomy places the organism in Eukaryota, Metazoa, Chordata, Testudines, Geoemydidae.